This 1491-nucleotide ribosomal RNA is filed under the name uncultured rumen bacterium. RNAcentral's name for it is "bacterial SSU rRNA". It matches the Rfam family "Bacterial small subunit ribosomal RNA". The record is from RNAcentral.
AGAGUUUGAUCCUGGCUCAGGAUGAACGCUAGCGGCAGGCUUAACACAUGCAAGUCGCGGGGCAGCGCGGGUAGCAAUACCUGGCGGCGACCGGCGGAAGGGUGCGUAACGCGUGAGCAACAUGCCCGUAUCAGGGGGAUAACCGAUGGAAACGUCGCCUAAUACCCCAUAACAACGAGGGCCGCAUGACCCAUGUUUGAAAGUUACGGCGGAUACGGAUUGGCUCGCGUGACAUUAGCUGGUUGGCGGGGUAACGGCCCACCAAGGCUACGAUGUCUAGGGGUUCUGAGAGGAAGGUCCCCCACACUGGAACUGAGACACGGUCCAGACUCCUACGGGAGGCAGCAGUGAGGAAUAUUGGUCAAUGGGCGCAAGCCUGAACCAGCCAUGCCGCGUGCAGGAAUGAGGCCCUAUGGGUCGUAAACUGCUUUUGCUGCGGAGCAAUAAGUGCUACGUGUAACACGAUGAGAGUACGCAGCGAAUAAGCAUCGGCUAACUCCGUGCCAGCAGCCGCGGUAAUACGGAGGAUGCGAGCGUUAUCCGGAUUUAUUGGGUUUAAAGGGUGCGUAGGCUGUUCGUCAAGUCAGUGGUGAAAUGCCGGGGCUCAACCCCGGAGCUGCCAUUGAUACUGUCGGGCUUGAAUCCUGCUGCCGUGGGAGGAAUGAGUAGUGUAGCGGUGAAAUGCUUAGAUAUUACACAGAACACCGAUUGCGAAAGCAGCUGACGAACCACCGAUUGACGCUGAUGCACGAAAGUGCGGGUAUCGAACAGGAUUAGAUACCCUGGUAGUCCGCACAGUAAACGAUGACAACUAGCUGUUGGGCGAUAUACCGUUCAGUAGCGUAGCGAAAGCGUUAAGUUGUCCACCUGGGGAGUACGACCGCAAGGUUGAAACUCAAAGGAAUUGACGGGGGCCCGCACAAGCGGAGGAACAUGUGGUUUAAUUCGAUGAUACGCGAGGAACCUUACCCAGGCUCGAACGGUGCAGGAAUAAUUCAGAGAUGAAUUAGCAUAGCAAUAUGUCUGUAUCGAGGUGCUGCAUGGUUGUCGUCAGCUCGUGCCGUGAGGUGUCGGCUUAAGUGCCAUAACGAGCGCAACCCCUCUCCGUAGUUGCCAUCGGGUUAUGCCGGGCACUCUGCGGACACUGCCUCCGUAAGGUGUGAGGAAGGGGGGGAUGACGUCAAAUCAGCACGGCCCUUACGUCCGGGGCGACACACGUGUUACAAUGGCGGCCACAGAGGGGCACUACCUGGUGACAGGAUGGGAAUCUCGAAAAGCCGUCUCAGUCCGGAUCGGAGUCUGCAACCCGACUCCGUGAAGCUGGAUUCGCUAGUAAUCGCGCAUCAGCCAUGGCGCGGUGAAUACGUUCCCGGGCCUUGUACACACCGCCCGUCAAGCCAUGAAAGUCUGGGGCGCCUGAAGUCCGUGACCGAGAGGAGCGGCCUAGGGCGAAACAGGUAAUUGGGGCUAAGUCGUAACAAGGUAGCCGUA